This 800-nucleotide ribosomal RNA is filed under the name Microbacterium sp. RNAcentral's name for it is "bacterial SSU rRNA". It matches the Rfam family "Bacterial small subunit ribosomal RNA", at positions 658 to 1454 of the family's 1533-position model. Lineage: Bacteria; Bacillati; Actinomycetota; Actinomycetes; Micrococcales; Microbacteriaceae. The record is from RNAcentral.
AGAUUGGAAUUCCUGGUGUAGCGGUGGAAUGCGCAGAUAUCAGGAGGAACACCGAUGGCGAAGGCAGAUCUCUGGGCCGUAACUGACGCUGAGGAGCGAAAGGGUGGGGAGCAAACAGGCUUAGAUACCCUGGUAGUCCACCCCGUAAACGUUGGGAACUAGUUGUGGGGUCCAUUCCACGGAUUCCGUGACGCAGCUAACGCAUUAAGUUCCCCGCCUGGGGAGUACGGCCGCAAGGCUAAAACUCAAAGGAAUUGACGGGGACCCGCACAAGCGGCGGAGCAUGCGGAUUAAUUCGAUGCAACGCGAAGAACCUUACCAAGGCUUGACAUAUACGAGAACGGGCCAGAAAUGGUCAACUCUUUGGACACUCGUAAACAGGUGGUGCAUGGUUGUCGUCAGCUCGUGUCGUGAGAUGUUGGGUUAAGUCCCGCAACGAGCGCAACCCUCGUUCUAUGUUGCCAGCACGUAAUGGUGGGAACUCAUGGGAUACUGCCGGGGUCAACUCGGAGGAAGGUGGGGAUGACGUCAAAUCAUCAUGCCCCUUAUGUCUUGGGCUUCACGCAUGCUACAAUGGCCGGUACAAAGGGCUGCAAUACCGCGAGGUGGAGCGAAUCCCAAAAAGCCGGUCCCAGUUCGGAUUGAGGUCUGCAACUCGACCUCAUGAAGUCGGAGUCGCUAGUAAUCGCAGAUCAGCAACGCUGCGGUGAAUACGUUCCCGGGUCUUGUACACACCGCCCGUCAAGUCAUGAAAGUCGGUAACACCUGAAGCCGGUGGCCUAACCCUUGUGGAGGGAGCC